RNAcentral lists this ribosomal RNA (242 nucleotides) under uncultured bacterium. RNAcentral's name for it is "partial 16S ribosomal RNA". It matches the Rfam family "Bacterial small subunit ribosomal RNA", at positions 523 to 763 of the family's 1533-position model. The record is from RNAcentral.
AUACGGAAGUCCAGGCGUUAUCCGGAUUUAUUGGGUUUAAAGGGAGCGUAGGCCGUCUGUUAAGCGUGUUGUGAAAUGUAGAUGCUCAACAUCUGAAUUGCAGCGCGAACUGGCAGACUUGAGUGUGCGCAACGUAGGCGGAAUUCGUGGUGUAGCGGUGAAAUGCUUAGAUAUCACGAAGAACUCCGAUUGCGAAGGCAGCGUUACGGGAGCACAACUGACGCUGAAGCUACGAAAGUGGC